This 78-nucleotide transfer RNA is filed under the name Prevotella sp. CAG:1031. RNAcentral's name for it is "transfer RNA-Val(TAC)". It matches the Rfam family "tRNA". Rfam says of the family: Transfer RNA (tRNA) molecules are approximately 80 nucleotides in length. Their secondary structure includes four short double-helical elements and three loops (D, anti-codon, and T loops). RNAcentral also lists the same sequence under 7 other names. The record is from RNAcentral. Lineage: Bacteria; Pseudomonadati; Bacteroidota; Bacteroidia; Bacteroidales; Prevotellaceae.
GGGCGCUUAGCUCAGCUGGUUCAGAGCGUCUGCCUUACAAGCAGAGGGUCGGGGGUUCGAAUCCCUCAGCGCCCACAA